CUACGGGUGGCUGCAGUGGGGAAUAUUGCACAAUGGGGGAAACCCUGAUGCAGCAACGCCGCGUGAGUGAUGAAGGCCUUCGGGUCGUAAAGCUCUGUCCUAAGGGAAGAAUUUUGACGGUACCUUAGGAGGAAGCCCCGGCUAACUACGUGCCAGCAGCCGCGGUAAUACGUAGGGGGCAAGCGUUAUCCGGAAUCAUGGGGCGUAAAGGGUGCGUAGGCGGUUAUGCAAGUUAGGGGUGAAAGGCUACGGCUCAACCGUAGUAAGCCUUUAAAACUGCAUAACUUGAGUGCAGGAGAGGAGAGUGGAAUUCCUAGUGUAGCGGUGAAAUGCGUAGAUAUUAGGAGGAACACCAGUGGCGAAGGCGACUCUCUGGACUGUAACUGACGCUGAGGCACGAAAGCGUGGGGAGCGAACAGGAUUAGAUACCCUGGUAGUC
RNAcentral lists this ribosomal RNA (439 nucleotides) under uncultured bacterium. RNAcentral's name for it is "partial 16S ribosomal RNA". It matches the Rfam family "Bacterial small subunit ribosomal RNA", at positions 339 to 795 of the family's 1533-position model. The record is from RNAcentral.